RNAcentral lists this ribosomal RNA (433 nucleotides) under uncultured bacterium. Its description in RNAcentral is "partial 16S ribosomal RNA". It matches the Rfam family "Bacterial small subunit ribosomal RNA", at positions 29 to 507 of the family's 1533-position model. The record is from RNAcentral.
AGCGAACGCUGGCGGCAGGCCUAACACAUGCAAGUCGAACGAACUCUUCGGAGUUAGUGGCGGACGGGUGAGUAACACGUGGGAACGUGCCUUUUGGUUCGGAAUAACUCAGGGAAACUUGUGCUAAUACCGAAUGUGCCCUUCGGGGGAAAGAUUUAUCGCCAUUAGAGCGGCCCGCGUCUGAUUAGCUAGUUGGUGAGGUAACGGCUCACCAAGGCGACGAUCAGUAGCUGGUCUGAGAGGAUGACCAGCCACACUGGGGCUGAGACACGGCCCAGACUCCUACGGGAGGCAGCAGUGGGGAAUCUUGCGCAAUGGGCGAAAGCCUGACGCAGCCAUGCCGCGUGAAUGAUGAAGGUCUUAGGAUUGUAAAAUUCUUUCACCGGGGACGAUAAUGACGGUACCCGGAGAAGAAGCCCCGGCUAACUUCGUG